GGGGCUAUAGCUCAGUGGCAGAGCACCUGCCUAGCACAUGUCAGGCAUUGGGAUCAAUCCUUAGCACCA
Molecule: transfer RNA, 69 nt
Filed under: Ictidomys tridecemlineatus (thirteen-lined ground squirrel)
Lineage: Eukaryota; Metazoa; Chordata; Mammalia; Rodentia; Sciuridae
Also listed under: 1 other name
Description: Spermophilus tridecemlineatus (thirteen-lined ground squirrel) tRNA
Rfam family: tRNA
About the family: Transfer RNA (tRNA) molecules are approximately 80 nucleotides in length. Their secondary structure includes four short double-helical elements and three loops (D, anti-codon, and T loops).
Source: Rfam by way of RNAcentral